RNAcentral lists this long non-coding RNA (354 nucleotides) under Zostera marina. RNAcentral's name for it is "long non-coding RNA (ZMAR_LNC001462)". Lineage: Eukaryota; Viridiplantae; Streptophyta; Magnoliopsida; Alismatales; Zosteraceae. The record is from RNAcentral.
UUCGGAGCAAUUGCCGGCUAAAACAGAAGAAAAAGAAGUCAUUCAGUACAUACCACGUAAUGAUAAUUAAAAUUUAAACAUACUUGAUUGGUUGUUGUAGAUAAUUGUUAAUUAAUUUACAUUCUCGCUUAUUGCUGUUAAUUCUAUACUCCGACAGCUUCCAGGGAAGAAUUGAAUCGAAUGUAUCCGGAAUUGGUCGGAGUGGUGAAACAAACAAUAGAGCUGGACAGAAUUUAUGCGCAGAAUCUUCGAUACCUAGCAAAUCAAAGGAAUUACAGAGUAGAAUGUCGAGUAGACGCUCAACUGGAGUGCUUCAAUAAACAAGAAAAAAUAGUCGACGAUGAUGAAGAAGCG